RNAcentral lists this unclassified non-coding RNA (391 nucleotides) under soil metagenome. RNAcentral's name for it is "partial contains 5.8S ribosomal RNA, internal transcribed spacer 2, and large subunit ribosomal RNA". The stretch from base 1 to 122 matches the Rfam family "5.8S ribosomal RNA", at positions 35 to 154 of the family's 154-position model. The record is from RNAcentral.
GAUGAAGAACGUAGCGAAAUGCGAUACUUGGUGUGAAUUGCAGAAUCCCGUGAACCAUCGAGUCUUUGAACGCAAGUUGCGCCCGAAGCCACUAGGCCGAGGGCACGCCUGCCUGGGCGUCACACGCCGUUGCCCCCCCAUCUACUCCUUCGGGAUUGCGGGGGGGCGGAUGAUGGCCUCCUGUGCGCCUAGCCGCGCGGUUGGCAUAAAUACCAAGUCCUCGGCGACGCACGCCACGACAAUCGGUGGUUGCGAAACCUCGGUUGCCCGUCGUGUGCGUUCGUCGCACAUCGAGGGCUCGAAAAAAUGCUCGGCUCCGGCUGGGCUUUCAACGCGACCCCAGGUCAGGCGGGGUUACCCGCUGAAUUUAAGCAUAUCAAUAAGCGGAGGA